AUUAGCUAGUUGGUAAGGUAACGGCUUACCAAGGCGACGAUCAGUAGCCGACCUGAGAGGGUGACCGGCCACAUUGGGACUGAGACACGGCCCAAACUCCUACGGGAGGCAGCAUG
Molecule: ribosomal RNA, 116 nt
Filed under: uncultured bacterium
Lineage: Bacteria
Description: partial 16S ribosomal RNA
Rfam family: Bacterial small subunit ribosomal RNA
Source: RNAcentral